CCUACGGGAGGCUGCAGUCGAGAAUUAUUCACAAUGGGGGAAACCCUGAUGGUGCGACGCCGCGUGGGGGAAUGAAGGUCUUCGGAUUGUAAACCCCUGUCAUGUGGGAGCAAAUUAAAAAGAUAGUACCACAAGAGGAAGAGACGGCUAACUCUGUGUCAGCAGCCGCGGUAAUACAGAGGUCUCAAGCGUUGUUCGGAAUCACUGGGCGUAAGGCGUGCGUAGGCUGUUUCGUAAGUCGUGUGUGAAAGGCGCGGGCUCAACCCGCGGACGGCACAUGAUACUGCGAGACUAGAGUAAUGGAGGGGGAACCGGAAUUCUCGGUGUAGCAGUGAAAUGCGUAGAUAUCGAGAGGAACACUCGUGGCGAAGGCGGGUUCCUGGACAUUAACUGACGCUGAGGCACGAAGGCCAGGGGAGCGAAAGGGAUUAGAUACCCGGGUAGUC
Molecule: ribosomal RNA, 446 nt
Filed under: uncultured bacterium
Lineage: Bacteria
Description: partial 16S ribosomal RNA
Rfam family: Bacterial small subunit ribosomal RNA
Source: RNAcentral